GACGAACGCUGGCGGCGUGCCUAAUACAUGCAAGUUGAGCGCUGAAGGUUGGUACUUGUACCAACUGGAUGAGCAGCGAACGGGUGAGUAACGCGUGGGGAAUCUGCCUUUGAGCGGGGGACAACAUUUGGAAACGAAUGCUAAUACCGCAUAAAAACUUUAAACACAAGUUUUAAGUUUGAAAGAUGCAAUUGCAUCACUCAAAGAUGAUCCCGCGUUGUAUUAGCUAGUUGGUGAGGUAAAGGCUCACCAAGGCGAUGAUACAUAGCCGGCCUGAGAGGGUGAUCGGCCACAUUGGGACUGAGACACGGCCCAAACGCCUACGGGAGGCAGCAGUAGGGAAUCUUCGGCAAUGGACGAAAGUCUGACCGAGCAACGCCGCGUGAGUGAAGAAGGUUUUCGGAUCGUAAAACUCUGUUGGUAGAGAAGAACGUUGGUGAGAGUGGAAAGCUCAUCAAGUGACGGUAACUACCCAGAAAGGGACGGCUAACUACGUG
RNAcentral lists this ribosomal RNA (497 nucleotides) under uncultured bacterium. RNAcentral describes it as "partial 16S ribosomal RNA". It matches the Rfam family "Bacterial small subunit ribosomal RNA", at positions 28 to 507 of the family's 1533-position model. The record is from RNAcentral.